This 213-nucleotide long non-coding RNA is filed under the name Brassica napus (rape). RNAcentral describes it as "long non-coding RNA (BNAP_LNC025067)". Lineage: Eukaryota; Viridiplantae; Streptophyta; Magnoliopsida; Brassicales; Brassicaceae. The record is from RNAcentral.
GAGAGGAGAGGAGUUUGGGAGGAAUGGACGAGGCAGCCUCGUCUCGGCGUCCCAAUAUAUAGAAAAGGUUUCGUCGUAAACGCGACGUAAUAUUACGACGAAGUUACCAGGCCCGCGUUUUUUCAUUUACGACGAAGUUACCAGGCCCGCGUUUUUCGAUUUACGACGAAAUUACGUCGAAACAUCGGUUUACGACGAAUUUACCAGGCCCAC